GACGAACGCUGGCGGCGUGCUUAACACAUGCAAGUCGAACGGAAAGGCCCUGCUUUUGUGGGGUGCUCGAGUGGCGAACGGGUGAGUAACACGUGAGUAACCUGCCCUUGACUUUGGGAUAACUUCAGGAAACUGGGGCUAAUACCGGAUAGGAGCUCCUGCUGCAUGGUGGGGGUUGGAAAGUUUCGGCGGUUGGGGAUGGACUCGCGGCUUAUCAGCUUGUUGGUGGGGUAGUGGCUUACCAAGGCAUUGACGGGUAGCCGGCCUGAGAGGGUGACCGGCCACAUUGGGACUGCGAUACGGCCCAGACUCCUACGGGAGGCAGCAGUGGGGAAUAUUGCACAAUGGGCGGAAGCCUGAUGCAGCAACGCCGCGUGCGGGAUGACGGCCUUCGGGUUGUAAACCGCUUUCGCCUGUGACGAAGCGUGAGUGACGGUAAUGGGUAAAGAAGCACCGGCUAACUACGUG
Molecule: ribosomal RNA, 468 nt
Filed under: uncultured bacterium
Lineage: Bacteria
Description: partial 16S ribosomal RNA
Rfam family: Bacterial small subunit ribosomal RNA
Source: RNAcentral